RNAcentral lists this ribosomal RNA (460 nucleotides) under uncultured bacterium. Its description in RNAcentral is "partial 16S ribosomal RNA". It matches the Rfam family "Bacterial small subunit ribosomal RNA", at positions 338 to 795 of the family's 1533-position model. The record is from RNAcentral.
CCUACGGGGUGCUGCAGUGAGGAAUAUUGGUCAAUGGACGAGAGUCUGAACCAGCCAAGUAGCGUGAAGGAUGACUGCCCUAUGGGUUGUAAACUUCUUUUAUAUGGGAAUAAAACGUUCCACGUGUGGGAUUUUGUAUGUACCAUAUGAAUAAGGAUCGGCUAACUCCGUGCCAGCAGCCGCGGUAAUACGGAGGAUCCGAGCGUUAUCCGGAUUUAUUGGGUGUAAAGGGAGCGUAGGUGGAUUGUUAAGUCAGGUGUGAAAGUUGGCGUCUCAACCGUAAAAUUGCAGUUGAAACUGGCAGUCUUGAGUACAGUAGAGGUGGGCGGAAUUCGUGGUGUAGCGGUGAAAUGCUUAGAUAUCACGAAGAACUCCGAUUGCGAAGGCAGUUCACUGGACUGCAACUGACACUGAGGCUCGAAAGUGUGGGUAUCAAACAGGAUUAGAUACCCUGGUAGUC